CCUACGGGUGGCAGCAGUGGGGGAUAUUGCACAAUGGGGGCAACCCUGAUGCAGCGACGCCGCGUGAGCGAUGGAGUACUUCGGUAUGUAAAGCUCUGUCAGCAGGGAAGAGAAUGACGGUACCUGACCAAGAAGCCCCGGCUAAAUACGUGCCAGCAGCCGCGGUAAUACGUAUGGGGCAAGCGUUAUCCGGAUUUACUGGGUGUAAAGGGAGCGUAGGCGGCAGGGCAAGCCUGAUGUGAAAUCCCGGGGCUUAACCCCGGAACUGCUUUGGAAACUGUGCGGCUGGAGUGCAGGAGGGGUAAGCGGAAUUCCUAGUGUAGCGGUGAAAUGCGUAGAUAUUAGGAGGAACACCGGUGGCGAAGGCGGCUUACUGGACUGUAACUGACGUUGAGGCUCGAAAGCGUGGGGAGCAAACAGGAUUAGAUACCCUUGUAGUC
Molecule: ribosomal RNA, 440 nt
Filed under: uncultured bacterium
Lineage: Bacteria
Description: partial 16S ribosomal RNA
Rfam family: Bacterial small subunit ribosomal RNA
Source: RNAcentral